RNAcentral lists this transfer RNA (85 nucleotides) under Methanoregulaceae archaeon. RNAcentral describes it as "tRNA-Leu". It matches the Rfam family "tRNA". Rfam says of the family: Transfer RNA (tRNA) molecules are approximately 80 nucleotides in length. Their secondary structure includes four short double-helical elements and three loops (D, anti-codon, and T loops). The record is from RNAcentral. Lineage: Archaea; Methanobacteriati; Methanobacteriota; Methanomicrobia; Methanomicrobiales; Methanoregulaceae.
GCGAGGGUAGCCAAGCCAGGUCAAAGGCGCUAGGUUGAGGGCCUAGUCUCGUAGGAGUUCUCGAGUUCGAAUCUCGUCCCUCGCA